This 769-nucleotide long non-coding RNA is filed under the name Homo sapiens (human). Its description in RNAcentral is "HSALNT0039020". Lineage: Eukaryota; Metazoa; Chordata; Mammalia; Primates; Hominidae. The record is from RNAcentral.
CUUUAAUGUUUCCAGAGAGUUCUCUGGAUCUCUCCAGAUUGGUGCCACAUCUGUUGAGCAAUGUUGAUGAUCUCAUCAAAAGUGAUAUUCCCACUGUGUUUAAUGUUUUUCUGUUUAUUUCUGUCUUGAUGGUUCCUCGAGGGCUUUGAUGAUCAGGGCAGAGGCAGAAGGCACCACCUCAAUCUGGGCCUGUCUGUUCUGAAUGGUCAGUUUUCACUGUAAUCCUCAGGCCCUUCCAGUCACCCGUUGUCUUGGCAAUGUCGUCACCAACCUUUUUUGGAGACAGACCCAGGGGGCCAAUCUGGGGGCCAGCGCAGACGUGGCACCAACUUCACCCCCAGUGCACCUCAGAAAUGCCCAGGAGGAUUGACGAGAUUGAGGUCAAGAUCGUGGCCCAGUGUGUGGCGCUCCAAGCCAGCUCUUCCCCUUUCAAAACCAGAAAAGCCGCAUGUUUAGAUCGCUCUAGGAGAUUCAUCUCCAUUACGAUACAGGAUAUGGGCUGUUUGAAAACUAUUUCAUCAUCUUUAUCAUCAUCAUUCAGUUCAGCCACUUGAGAUUUUCGCCUCUCCAAAAAUGUUGGUGUACAAACUGGUGUGGGGCCCUGGAUUCAACAAGUAAAGAUUAUAAUACAUAAAUGUAAAACAUGAUUAUGACUUUACCCAAAAAUAUCAUCUCUCCUCUAUUUUUACAAGUUGUGCCCCAUUAUUUUAGCUCUGUUACCAUCUUUUGGUGAUACUAUUGCAAAGAAUAAAGAACUUAGAUGCUUAUC